Molecule: long non-coding RNA, 763 nt
Organism: Topomyia yanbarensis
Lineage: Eukaryota; Metazoa; Arthropoda; Insecta; Diptera; Culicidae
Exons: 2
Source: RefSeq, a predicted model, not a curated record
UUGCUGUGUAAUAACCCUCAAUUAACGUUACUUCCAUCGAGUGUGAUCCAGAAGUCAAGGCCAAACGCAUCAAUUCUUCUUCAGUACAUAUAGUCGUCACUAAUCAUGGUUCUGUCUCUGUGUAUGUGCACUUACUGUUUAGCUGAGCCCCCCAAAAGUAGGUUAGUGUGCAAGAUGUGCCGCCGAGACGCGAUACGUCAUUCGCCUUACUGCCUUCCUGCCCGCCCGUUCGGAUCCGUUUUUUUACAGCUUACUCCGCUCCGUUUGCAAGUGCAUAAUUGCUUGAAUGUAGUGUGCGGUCGACGGUGCAUGUCAAUAACUUUCUCCGCGAACAUUGCACGACGUCGCGCACAGGCAGAGGAAACAAAAGCUCAUUUCUUGUUUAGGAGGAGGGCGCGUAUGUUUACGAAUUCCGGUCGUCAUACUGGUGGGGCUUUGUUUACCGUGUGAUUCCUCCCUGAAUGAGUCCCCCCUUUUCUCUCUCGAUGUGAAGGUGGAAUGAAAGCAGGGCAUUGUUCGAAGUUGGCUGCGGCAUAUCGGAGAUGUGUCAAUGUUUACUUUUUUAUUCAUGUUCAUGUGUAUUGUGACAGUUGGAAGCAUCGAUGGUUCAACAUUGAAUUUUCAGUGUCACUUUCCAUCAGACCAUCCAUUUUCAAUACUGUUCUGUACAGGAAAAUUAGGGCAAAUUUUUGAAGCUAAUUUUGUUAAAGAAGUUGUCUCUGUUUGUGAAAUAUUUGAAUAAAUGUAUUAAUGUUUUGUUUUA